This 424-nucleotide ribosomal RNA is filed under the name uncultured prokaryote. Its description in RNAcentral is "bacterial SSU rRNA". It matches the Rfam family "Bacterial small subunit ribosomal RNA", at positions 355 to 796 of the family's 1533-position model. The record is from RNAcentral.
UCGGGAAUAUUGGACAAUGGGCGCAAGCCUGAUCCAGCCAUGCCGCGUGUGUGAUGAAGGCCCUAGGGUUGUAAAGCACUUUCAACGGUGAAGAUAAUGACGGUAACCGUAGAAGAAGCCCUGGUUAACUUCGUGCCAGCAGCCGCGCUAAUACGAAGGGGGCUAGCGUUGUUCGGAAUUACUGGGCGUAAAGCGCGCGUAGGCGGAUUGAUCAGUCAGGGGUCAAAUCCCGGGGCUCAACCCCGGAACUGCCUUUGAUACUGUCAAUCUAGAGGUCGAGAGAGGUGAGUGGAAUUCCGAGUGUAGAGGUGAAAUUCGUAGAUAUUCGGAGGAACACCAGUGGCGAAGGCGGCUCACUGGCGCGAUACUGACGCUGAGGUGCGAAAGCGUGGGGAGCAAACAGGAUUAGAUACCCCCGUAGUCC